UAAUUAGAACCCUCCAAAAAGAAGGCCUAGCUGGUUUUUUUUUUUUGGGGGGGGGAAUUUCAAAACAAAAUAUGACCUGGACUUUUUUGGGAAACAUAGUAGUAAGGAGUGGGGUUUGCGGUCAGUUUAUAUUCCGGGGGUGGCUUUCCCUGUCAGUGUUGGUGGCGGUGGUAUUAGACAUUCCUGUAUUUAUGGAAAUACCGGAAGUGACAAAAUGGGCCCAUUGUUCAGCCUGCAAAGACUACAGAGGUUUCCCUUGAGCCUCUGGGAGGCCGAAAAAGGCAUCUAACAGGCAGAAAAUCAGCUGGGAGGCACUCCCAUGCCCAGUGUAGGUAAGAGAGCACUGUGGGGGGGAUCGCGUGCGCAUGGGGCAUGGGGGGCCCCCACGCGCAUUGCCUUCUGGUUGCUGGCAUGUGAGCGCGUGCAAAAUUUUCAACACAGGAGCCGAAAAAGAUUAGCCACCGCUGCUAUAGGACAUUGUCUCUUUGCUCUCUGUGAAGGAGCCUCCUCCCCCCGCGACCCUGGACUACAUGCCAUCACAUGUGCGCAGAUUAACACCCCUCAGACAGCUAUAGAUUUGGAUGGCCUUCUCAAAAAGAGCCCUUCUUCCCAUGUAUAUCUGUGCACUGAACAUUCUUCAAGUCCCUAAGAUGGACCAAGAGUUAAAACCAGAGAAGCAGCGUUAAAGCAUGGCCCAAACGGAUCUCCGGAGGAAAAUUGCCACAAGAUGUCAGCCAUGGAAGCGAUCCACAGGAAAAAAAUCCAGAGGCGCUAAAUCAGAGGCGGCCAGUCUUUCAGCAGUCCGGCAGUCACGUUUUGGAAUAAUUGCAAUGCAUUGUGGGGGGCCCUGUUGGAAGACAUUAGCCCCUCUUCCAAGCCAGGUUGCAAGAGAUGGAUAUUUGAGGCGCUUCUACAAAGACGAGGGGACCAAGUUAUUUUCCAAAGCACUAGAAGGCAAGACAAAAAACACUGGAUGGCAACUAACAGUAACCAAGGAAGAAGGCCUUACUGGCAAUUCUGGGAUUAGACUAUGCAGGAGAGCCCAGAGUUCAAAUCUAUCCUCCAUCACAGAAACCUCCCCAGCUGAUUUUUGAGUUACGACAUCACACUAGUUUCUCGGUUUCCUGCAUGUUGAUGCCACAAAGAAGUAUGUCAGGGUUGAGGUUUACACUAGGACAUGGCUACAGGUGUUUCCCCUCACUUCUUCCUCCCCUCUGUGGAUUCCAAGGACAAAAGAACGGUGUUUGGGACUGGAGACCAGGAGGGAAAGAUCUGAGUUCAAAUCCACCUUCCAUUGUGGAAACCUUCUGGCUGAUUUGGAGCUGAUUACCGUGUCGAAUUUUGCUGGGGAGAUAAGCUGAAGAGACUUCCCAUCAGGGAAGCUCCAGGAUCAAAGGUGGGAUGUAACCCUGAUUUUUUUAAAAAUACAGUAAACAGAUUGGGAACACCCACAAAAUUCCCCCCUCCCUCAGAAAUCUUGAGUGUUGUUGCAUGAAUCUUGCACACUGAUUCCGAUUGCUGGAAGCUGGGUCUUCUUGAAAUUCUGUGUCUGGAAGACUUGGUGGUACUGAGCCGUGGUGGUGCAGUGGUCAGAAUGCAGUACUGCAAGCGACUUCUGCUGAAUGCCGGCUGCCAGCAGCUCGAUUCUCACCAGCUCAAGGUUGACUCAGUCUUUCCAUCCUUCAGAGGUCAAUAAAACGAGGACCCAGAUUGUUGGGAGAAAUAUGCUGAGUCUGUAAACCACUUGGAGAGAGCUGGAAAGCAUCGUGAAGCGGUACAUUACUAUCGAUGCGAAAACUGGAGAAUCAAGCAUUUCAGCUAGUGGGCUGAGGGGGACUUGGCAGCCAAGGAUCAGAAGGUACUUGCGAUCCCUGUCUUACAGAAAUAGAUCAGACAACUUUCAUUAAGAUCAAUUAUCCUUGGAUCACAGAACUUUCGAAGCUCAAUUUUGUAGGAACCCACACGGGAUCUUGAUGUAUUAGGGGUGAGCCAUCCUAAAUUCCUAGCAUAUUCCUAGCAAACCUACGAUAGGGUAUCCUUGAAUCGUCAUCUCCAGCUGAAAGACCCCGGCAAAACUCCAGGCAUUUCUAGAGAUCCUCUCAUGUCUCUGGUCCUCAUCAAGAAGCGAGAUCACUGCUCAGACAAACACUCUUUCCUUCUUGCUCCAAGAAUUCAAAUUGGGGUCCGACGACCGCUUAGAUGUGGUGCGUGCUGAAGAUUCAAAUCUAGUUCCCAGUGCCCGAAAGCAGGGCUGGCAAAGAAACCUUCGGAAACACUGGACAAUCACAAUGGGCCAACACAUCAAAUAAAAAUAAAAAUAAGCAUCUCUAUAAAUAAAUUCAUAUCUAAUGCAAAGAAAUGGAGUCCGUGUUCUACACGAAUCUCUUUCCACAGUGAUUUCCACAGUUUUCUUUGAAAUCUUUUCACGAUAAGGGCUGCUUCGUCCGUCCGCCGCUU
Non-coding RNA from Pseudonaja textilis, 2457 nucleotides. The record is from RefSeq and is a predicted model, not a curated record. NCBI's taxonomy places the organism in Eukaryota, Metazoa, Chordata, Lepidosauria, Squamata, Elapidae.